GCGGGAGUAGCUCAGGGGUAGAGCAUCACCCUUCCAAGGUGAAAGUCGCGGGUUCGAAUCCCGUCUCCCGCUCUA
This 75-nucleotide transfer RNA is filed under the name Bacteroidetes bacterium QH_1_64_81. RNAcentral's name for it is "tRNA-Gly". It matches the Rfam family "tRNA". Rfam says of the family: Transfer RNA (tRNA) molecules are approximately 80 nucleotides in length. Their secondary structure includes four short double-helical elements and three loops (D, anti-codon, and T loops). RNAcentral also lists the same sequence under 3 other names. The record is from RNAcentral. Lineage: Bacteria; Pseudomonadati; Bacteroidota.